UUACAACCAUUACGCCAGCAUCCUAGCCGAAGCGCGGACCUCAGUCCCGGCUGGCCGUAUUACACCCUGGGCUAUAACACCUCCACCGAAGUGGAGGCCACAUUCCCAGAGCCUUUAUCCGGCCGCCGAAACUGAUGCUGGCCUGUCCAAACUGAGUAAACCGGUCAGAAGACCGGCCGAACAGUUUAAACAAGUCUGAUUGCAAGCGCUUCCCUUUCAACAAUUUCACGUGCUUUUUAACUCUCUUUCCAAAGUGCUUUUCAUCUUUCGAUCACUCUACUUGUGCGCUAUCGGUCUCUCGCCAAUAUUUAGCUUUAGAAGAAAUUUACCUCCCAUUUAGAGCUGCAUUCCCAAACAACUCGACUCGUCGAAGGAGAUUUACAUAGGGUGCCAUUUCCUGUCACAUACGGGAUUCUCACCCUCUAUGACGUCCUGUUCCAAGGAACUUAGACAGGCGGCUUCCCCAAAUCAUCCUCUACAAAUUACAAUGCGAACCCGAAGGCUAGCUUUCAAAUUUGAGCUGUUGCCGCUUCACUCGCCGUUACUAGGG
Molecule: ribosomal RNA, 550 nt
Filed under: Aureobasidium proteae
Lineage: Eukaryota; Fungi; Ascomycota; Dothideomycetes; Dothideales; Saccotheciaceae
Description: partial 26S ribosomal RNA
Source: RNAcentral